CCAAUAUUAGCGAACCUGGUCGCUUUUGACCAAGGUUUCGUGAAAUUUGUAUUUAAAACCCACACCUUUAUAAAUUUUAUUGUAUCAAUUAUGAUAAAAAAGA
Molecule: unclassified non-coding RNA, 103 nt
Filed under: uncultured Glomeromycotina
Lineage: Eukaryota; Fungi; Glomeromycota
Description: sequence contains ITS1
Source: RNAcentral